RNAcentral lists this ribosomal RNA (429 nucleotides) under Escherichia coli IS9. Its description in RNAcentral is "LSU rRNA". It matches the Rfam family "Bacterial large subunit ribosomal RNA", at positions 2026 to 2454 of the family's 2925-position model. Lineage: Bacteria; Pseudomonadati; Pseudomonadota; Gammaproteobacteria; Enterobacterales; Enterobacteriaceae. The record is from RNAcentral.
CCGAGACUCAGUGAAAUUGAACUCGCUGUGAAGAUGCAGUGUACCCGCGGCAAGACGGAAAGACCCCGUGAACCUUUACUAUAGCUUGACACUGAACAUUGAGCCUUGAUGUGUAGGAUAGGUGGGAGGCUUUGAAGUGUGGACGCCAGUCUGCAUGGAGCCGACCUUGAAAUACCACCCUUUAAUGUUUGAUGUUCUAACGUUGACCCGUAAUCCGGGUUGCGGACAGUGUCUGGUGGGUAGUUUGACUGGGGCGGUCUCCUCCUAAAGAGUAACGGAGGAGCACGAAGGUUGGCUAAUCCUGGUCGGACAUCAGGAGGUUAGUGCAAUGGCAUAAGCCAGCUUGACUGCGAGCGUGACGGCGCGAGCAGGUGCGAAAGCAGGUCAUAGUGAUCCGGUGGUUCUGAAUGGAAGGGCCAUCGCUCAACG